UUCCUACGGGGGGCAGCAGUGGGGGAUAUUGGACAAUGGGGGGAACCCUGAUCCAGCGACGCCGCGUGAGUGAAGAAGUAUUUCGGUAUGUAAAGCUCUGUCAGCAGGGAAGAAAGAAAUGACGGUACCUGACCAAGAAGCCCCGGCUAACUACGUGCCAGCAGCCGCGGUAAUACGUAGGGGGCAAGCGUUAUCCGGAAUUACUGGGUGUAAAGGGAGCGUAGACGGUUAAGUAAGUCUGAAGUGAAAGGCCGGGGCCCAACCCCGGGACUGCUCUGGAAA
RNAcentral lists this ribosomal RNA (282 nucleotides) under uncultured bacterium. Its description in RNAcentral is "partial 16S ribosomal RNA". It matches the Rfam family "Bacterial small subunit ribosomal RNA", at positions 336 to 632 of the family's 1533-position model. The record is from RNAcentral.